GACGAACGCUGGCGGCGUGCUUAACACAUGCAAGUCGAGGGACCGGCGCACGGGUGAGUAACGCGUAUCCAACCUGCCCAUAACUAAGGGAUAACCCAGCGAAAGUUGGACUAAUACCUAAUGGUUAUGGAUGGGGAUGCGUCUGAUUAGCUUGUUGGCGGGGUAACGGCCCACCAAGGCAACGAUCAGUAGGGGUUAUGAGAGGGAGGUCCCCCGCAUUGGAACUGAGACACAGUCCAAACUCCUACGGUCGGCAGCAGUGAGUAAUAUUGGUCAAUGGACGCAAGUCUGAACCAGCCAAGUAGCUUGCAGGAUGACGGCCUAUGGGUUGUAAACUGCUUUUAUAUGGGGAUAGGUACCAUAUGAAUAAGGACCGGCUAAUUCCGUGCCAGCCGCCGCGGUAAUAC
Molecule: ribosomal RNA, 407 nt
Filed under: uncultured bacterium
Lineage: Bacteria
Description: partial 16S ribosomal RNA
Rfam family: Bacterial small subunit ribosomal RNA
Source: RNAcentral